AUAGGGGAGCCGUAGGGAAACCGAGUCUUAACUGGGCGAAUGAGUUGCAGGGUAUAGACCCGAAACCCGGUGAUCUAGCCAUGGGCAGGUUGAAGGUUGGGUAACACUAACUGGAGGACCGAACCGACUAAUGUUGAAAAAUUAGCGGAUGACUUGUGGCUGGGGGUGAAAGGCCAAUCAAACCGGGAGAUAGCUGGUUCUCCCCGAAAGCUAUUUAGGUAGCGCCUCGUGAACUCAUCUUCGGGGGUAGAGCACUGUUUCGGCUAGGGGGUCAUCCCGACUUACCAACCCGAUGCAAACUACGAAUACCGAAGAAUGUUAUCACGGGAGACACACGGCGGGUGCUAACGUUCGUCGUGAAGAGGGAAACAACCCAGACCGCCAGCUAAGGUCCCAAAGUCAUGGUUAAGUGGGAAACGAAGUGGGAAGGCUCAGACAGCCAGGAUGUUGGCUUAGAAGCAGCCAUCAUUUAAAGAAAGCGUAAUAGCUCACUGGUCGAGUCGGCCUGCGCGGAAGAUGUAACGGGGCUAAACCAUGCACCGAAGCUGCGGCAGCGACAUGUA
RNAcentral lists this ribosomal RNA (563 nucleotides) under Providencia stuartii. Its description in RNAcentral is "partial 23S ribosomal RNA". It matches the Rfam family "Bacterial large subunit ribosomal RNA", at positions 657 to 1217 of the family's 2925-position model. Lineage: Bacteria; Pseudomonadati; Pseudomonadota; Gammaproteobacteria; Enterobacterales; Morganellaceae. The record is from RNAcentral.